This 730-nucleotide ribosomal RNA is filed under the name uncultured bacterium. Its description in RNAcentral is "bacterial SSU rRNA". It matches the Rfam family "Bacterial small subunit ribosomal RNA", at positions 772 to 1501 of the family's 1533-position model. The record is from RNAcentral.
ACAGGAUUAGAUACCCUGGUAGUCCACGCUGUAAACGAUGUCGACUUGGAGGUUGUUCCCUUGAGGAGUGGCUUCCGGAGCUAACGCGUUAAGUCGACCGGCUGGGGAGUACGGCCGCAAGGUUAAAACUCAAAUGAAUUGACGGGGGCCCGCACAAGCGGUGGAGCAUGUGGUUUAAUUCGAUGCAACGCGAAGAACCUUACCUACUCUUGACAUCCAGAGAACUUAGCAGAGAUGCUUUGGUGCCUUCGGGAACUCUGAGACAGGUGCUGCAUGGCUGUCGUCAGCUCGUGUUGUGAAAUGUUGGGUUAAGUCCCGCAACGAGCGCAACCCUUAUCCUUUGUUGCCAGCGGUUCGGCCGGGAACUCAAAGGAGACUGCCAGUGAUAAACUGGAGGAAGGUGGGGAUGACGUCAAGUCAUCAUGGCCCUUACGAGUAGGGCUACACACGUGCUACAAUGGCAUAUACAAAGAGAAGCGACCUCGCGAGAGCAAGCGGACCUCAUAAAGUAUGUCGUAGUCCGGAUCGGAGUCUGCAACUCGACUCCGUGAAGUCGGAAUCGCUAGUAAUCGUGGAUCAGAAUGCCACGGUGAAUACGUUCCCGGGCCUUGUACACACCGCCCGUCACACCAUGGGAGUGGGUUGCAAAAGAAGUAGGUAGCUUAACCUUCGGGAGGGCGCUUACCACUUUGUGAUUCAUGACUGGGGGUGAAGUCGUAACAAGGUAACC